AUAUUACCUAAAGCUAUGAAUAUUGACACCCUGCUACUAAAAUUAUUCACAAUCAAACAGUAUCAAAGCAUAGCACCCUUAUUUCUAAUGUUUUCCUAAAAAUUUCUAGACAGCUCCUAACUGGUUUGAAGAGUACACUUAAGCCUCCAAUCCGGUCUAAUAACCUAGUCGACCAGGUAAGCUCCCAGGUAAGUGGAGGGGUCACGAUGCGUAUAGCAA
This 219-nucleotide long non-coding RNA is filed under the name Phoenix dactylifera (date palm). RNAcentral's name for it is "long non-coding RNA (PDAC_LNC016644)". The record is from RNAcentral. Lineage: Eukaryota; Viridiplantae; Streptophyta; Magnoliopsida; Arecales; Arecaceae.